RNAcentral lists this ribosomal RNA (440 nucleotides) under uncultured bacterium. RNAcentral's name for it is "partial 16S ribosomal RNA". It matches the Rfam family "Bacterial small subunit ribosomal RNA", at positions 338 to 795 of the family's 1533-position model. The record is from RNAcentral.
CCUACGGGUGGCAGCAGUAGGGAAUAUUGCACAAUGGGGGAAACCCUGAAGCAGCAACGCCGCGUGGAGGAUGAAGGUGUUCGGAUUGUAAACUCCUUUUGUUAGAGAAGAGAAUGACGGUAUCUAAUGAAUAAGCACCGGCUAACUCCGUGCCAGCAGCCGCGGUCAUACGGAGGGUGCAAGCGUUACUCGGAAUCACUGGGCGUAAAGAGUGCGUAGGCGGGUUAGCAAGUCAGAGGUGAAAUCCUUGGGCUUAACCAUAAGACUGCAUUUGAAACUGUUAUUCUAGAGUAUGGGAGAGGUAGGUGGAAUUCUUGGUGUAGGGGUGAAAUCCGUAGAGAUCAAGAGGAAUACUCAUUGCGAAGGCGACCUACUAGAACAUAACUGACGCUGAUGCGCGAAAGCGUGGGGAGCAAACAGGAUUAGAUACCCUUGUAGUC